RNAcentral lists this ribosomal RNA (255 nucleotides) under Salmonella enterica. RNAcentral's name for it is "partial 23S ribosomal RNA". It matches the Rfam family "Bacterial large subunit ribosomal RNA", at positions 1088 to 1341 of the family's 2925-position model. Lineage: Bacteria; Pseudomonadati; Pseudomonadota; Gammaproteobacteria; Enterobacterales; Enterobacteriaceae. The record is from RNAcentral.
GACAGCCAGGAUGUUGGCUUAGAAGCAGCCAUCAUUUAAAGAAAGCGUAAUAGCUCACUGGUCGAGUCGGCCUGCGCGGAAGAUGUAACGGGGCUAAACCAUGCACCGAAGCUGCGGCAGCGACGCUUAUGCGUUGUUGGGUAGGGGAGCGUUCUGUAAGCCUGUGAAGGUGGCCUGUGAGGGUUGCUGGAGGUAUCAGAAGUGCGAAUGCUGACAUAAGUAACGAUAAAGCGGGUGAAAAGCCCGCUCGCCGGA